This 1078-nucleotide ribosomal RNA is filed under the name human gut metagenome. Its description in RNAcentral is "bacterial LSU rRNA". It matches the Rfam family "Bacterial large subunit ribosomal RNA", at positions 1287 to 2442 of the family's 2925-position model. The record is from RNAcentral.
AGUGAGAAUGCCGGAAUGAGUAGCGAGAAUUAUGUGAGAAUCAUAAUGGCCGAAAAUCUAAGGUUUCCUGAGGAAGGUUCGUCCGCUCAGGGUAAGCCGGGGGCUAAGGCGAGGCGGAGACGCGUAGCCGAUGCACAUACGGUUGAAAUUCCGUAGCCACCGAAAGAUUUAAGUACAGGGACGCUUUAGAAGUGAUGUUGCCGGGCGAUGGUUGACCCGGUCGUAAGGGAUCGAAAAUGAGUAGAGAAGUCAUCAUGGAAAGAGACAAGAAAAGCUGUAUGGAUAUCUUAGGUGCCCGUACCGCAAACCGACACAGGUAGAUAGGAAGAAGAUUCUAAGGCCAACGGGAGAAGGGUUGUUAAGGAACUCGGCAAGUUGACCCCGUAACUUAGGGAUAAGGGGUGCUCAAGUGAUUGAGCCGCAGAGAAUAGGCCCAGGCGACUGUUUAGCAAAAACACAGGUCUCUGCUAAAUCGAAAGAUGACGUAUAGGGGCUGACACCUGCCCGGUGCCGGAAGGUUAAGAGGAGAUGUGAGAGCAUUGAAUUGAAGCCCCGGUAAACGGCGGCCGUAACUAUAACGGUCCUAAGGUAGCGAAAUUCCUUGUCAGGUAAGUUCUGACCCGCACGAAAGGUGUAACGAUCUGGGCACUGUCUCAACAACCCGCCCGGCGAAAUUGUAGUACCGGUGAAGAUGCCGGUUACCCGCGACUAGACGGAAAGACCCCAUGGAGCUUUACUGUAGCCUAAUAUUGGAUUUCGGUAUUUCACGUACAGGAUAGGUGGGAGACUGGGAAGCACAGGCGUCAGCUUGUGUGGAGUCGACCUUGGGAUACCACUCUUGGAGUGCUGGAAUUCUAACCUGCGGCUUUGAAGCAAGUCGGGGGACAUUGUUAGGUGGGCAGUUUGACUGGGGCGGUCGCCUCCUAAAGAGUAACGGAGGCGCUCAAAGGUUCGCUCUGCAUGGAUGGAAACCAUGCGUCAGAGUGUAAACGCAAAAGCGAGCCUAACUGCGAGAAUGACGGUUCGAGCAGUAACGAAAGUUGGAGUUAGUGAUCCGGCGGUAUGUGAAUGGAAAUGC